AUCAAGGCUGAGGCGUGAUGACGAGGCACUACGGUGCUGAAGCAACAAAUGCCCUGCUUCCAGGAAAAGCCUCUAAGCAUCAGGUAACAUCAAAUCGUACCCCAAACCGACACAGGUGGUCAGGUAGAGAAUACCAAGGCGCUUGAGAGAACUCGGGUGAAGGAACUAGGCAAAAUGGUGCCGUAACUUCGGGAGAAGGCACGCUGAUAUGUAGGUGAAGCGACUUGCUCGUGGAGCUGAAAUCAGUCGAAGAUACCAGCUGGCUGCAACUGUUUAUUAAAAACACAGCACUGUGCAAACACGAAAGUGGACGUAUACGGUGUGACGCCUGCCCGGUGCCGGAAGGUUAAUUGAUGGGGUUAGCGGUAACGCGAAGCUCUUGAUCGAAGCCCCGGUAAACGGCGGCCGUAACUAUAACGGUCCUAAGGUAGCGAAAUUCCUUGUCGGGUAAGUUCCGACCUGCACGAAUGGCGUAAUGAUGGCCAGGCUGUCUCCACCCGAGACUCAGUGAAAUUGAACUCGCUGUGAAGAUGCAGUGUACCCGCGGCAAGACGGAAAGACCCCGUGAACCUUUACUAUAGCUUGACACUGAACAUUGAGCCUUGAUGUGUAGGAUAGGUGGGAGGCUUUGAAGUGUGGACGCCAGUCUGCAUGGAGCCGACCUUGAAAUACCACCCUUUAAUGUUUGAUGUUCUAACGUUGGCCCGUUAUCCGGGUUGCGGACAGUGUCUGGUGGGUAGUUUGACUGGGGCGGUCUCCUCCUAAAGAGUAACGGAGGAGCACGAAGGUUGGCUAAUCCUGGUCGGACAUCAGGAGGUUAGUGCAAUGGCAUAAGCCAGCUUGACUGCGAGCGUGACGGCGCGAGCAGGUGCGAAAGCAGGUCAUAGUGAUCCGGUGGUUCUGAAUGGAAGGGCCAUCGCUCAACGGAUAAAAGGUACUCCGGGGAUAACAGGCUGAUACCGCCCAAGAGUUCAUAUCGACGGCGGUGUUUGGCACCUCGAUGUCGGCUCAUCACAUCCUGGGGCUGAAGUAGGUCCCAAGGGUAUGGCUGUUCGCCAUUUAAAGUGGUACGCGAGCUGGGUUUAGAACGUCGUGAGACAGUUCGGUCCCUAUCUGCCGUGGGCGCUGGAGAACUGAGGGGGGCUGCUCCUAGUACGAGAGGACCGGAGUGGACGCAUCACUGGUGUUCGGGUUGUCAUGCCAAUGGCACUGCCCGGUAGCUAAAUGCGGA
Molecule: ribosomal RNA, 1231 nt
Filed under: Escherichia coli
Lineage: Bacteria; Pseudomonadati; Pseudomonadota; Gammaproteobacteria; Enterobacterales; Enterobacteriaceae
Also listed under: 1 other name
Description: partial 23S ribosomal RNA
Rfam family: Bacterial large subunit ribosomal RNA
Source: RNAcentral